GACGAACGCUGGCGGCGUGCUUAACACAUGCAAGUCGAACGGAAAGGCCCCUUCGGGGGUCCUCGAGUGGCGAACAGGUGAGUAACACGUGAGUAACCUGCCCUUGACUUCGGGAUAACUUCAGGAAACUGGGGCUAAUACCGGAUAGGAAUCCUUGCUGCAUGGUGGGGGUUGGAAAGCUUCGGCGGUUUUGGAUGGACUCGCGGCUUAUCAGCUUGUUGGUGGGGUAGUGGCUUACCAAGGCUUUGACGGGUAGCCGGCCUGAGAGGGCGACCGGCCACAUUGGGACUGAGAUACGGCCCAGACUCCUACGGGAGGCAGCGGUGGGGAAUAUUGCACAAUGGGCGGAAGCCUGAUGCAGCAACGCCGCGUGCGGGAUGACGGCCUUCGGGUUGUAAACCGCUUUCAGCAGGGGCGAAGCUUGUGGUGACGGUACCUGCAGAAGAAGCACCGGCUAACUACGUG
RNAcentral lists this ribosomal RNA (465 nucleotides) under uncultured bacterium. RNAcentral describes it as "partial 16S ribosomal RNA". It matches the Rfam family "Bacterial small subunit ribosomal RNA", at positions 28 to 507 of the family's 1533-position model. The record is from RNAcentral.